Molecule: ribosomal RNA, 119 nt
Filed under: Leptotrombidium deliense
Lineage: Eukaryota; Metazoa; Arthropoda; Arachnida; Trombidiformes; Trombiculidae
Source: RNAcentral
GUCUACGACAAUAACAGAUUGAAAACACCAGGUCUCAUCCGAACCCUGAAGUUAAGCAGUCUCGCGUCGAAGUAGUACCUCUCAGGGAGACCGACAGGGAAAAUUCGAUAUCGUAGGCU